RNAcentral lists this ribosomal RNA (253 nucleotides) under uncultured bacterium. RNAcentral's name for it is "partial 16S ribosomal RNA". It matches the Rfam family "Bacterial small subunit ribosomal RNA", at positions 524 to 776 of the family's 1533-position model. The record is from RNAcentral.
UACAGAGGGGGCAAGCGUUGUUCGGAAUUACUGGGCGUAAAGGGCGCGUAGGCGGCCUGCUAAGUCGAACGUGAAAUCCCUGGGCUCAACCCAGGAACUGCGUCCGAUACUGGUUGGCUUGAAUCCGGGAGAGGGAUGUGGAAUUCCUGGUGUAGCGGUGAAAUGCGCAGAUAUCAGGAAGAACACCAAUGGCGAAAGCAGCUUUCUGGGACGGUACUGACGCUGAGACGCGAAAGCGUGGGGAGCGAACAGG